GCCGGGCGAAGUGGCGCAUGCCUGUAACCCAAGUCACCCGGGGGCUGAGGUUGGCGCAUUGUGUGAGCUGAGACGCUCUAUGUCGAACGGGUGUCUGCACUAAAUUCAGUAUCGAUAUAGUGCUCCUGGGAAGGCCGGGCCCUCCAUGUCGUCUAAGGAGGGCUGCACUGGCCCAGGUUGGAAACGAAGCAGGUCAAAUCCCAGGUGCAGUCCAGUAGUGGGAUAGCGUCUGUGAGUAGACUCUGCAGCGCAUCAUUCGCAAGACUUCA
This is an unclassified non-coding RNA of 269 nucleotides. It matches the Rfam family "Metazoan signal recognition particle RNA". Rfam says of the family: The signal recognition particle (SRP) is a universally conserved ribonucleoprotein. It is involved in the co-translational targeting of proteins to membranes. The eukaryotic SRP consists of a 300-nucleotide 7S RNA and six proteins: SRPs 72, 68, 54, 19, 14, and 9. The record is from Ensembl.